RNAcentral lists this long non-coding RNA (309 nucleotides) under Helianthus annuus (common sunflower). RNAcentral describes it as "hypothetical non coding rna". Lineage: Eukaryota; Viridiplantae; Streptophyta; Magnoliopsida; Asterales; Asteraceae. The record is from RNAcentral.
UUCGAGGCAACAAAUCAUCAUCUUCAUGAUUACCAGCGUCAUUAAAAUUAAGAGCAUAGCUUUUUGGAUCAUACUGAAACGGCGUCGUAUUAGCGUUAGAUCUAUUCCUCCUCCUACUAAACCUUCUGAUGAAGUUUUUCCACUUGGGUCCUGCAACAAGCUCUGAAUACUCCUUCAAACUCUUGGCACGUUUCAUGAACCACGUCAGAAGAAGAGGUGGAAACAACCGUUGGAUGUUAAGAUGACGUCGUCGUCGUCAUGAGGGAUAUCUUUCCCUUCGUGAUCAUGUUCCAUGAUGAUCGGUGUGGU